Molecule: ribosomal RNA, 243 nt
Filed under: uncultured bacterium
Lineage: Bacteria
Description: partial 16S ribosomal RNA
Rfam family: Bacterial small subunit ribosomal RNA
Source: RNAcentral
UAACGCGUGAGGAACCUGCCUUUCAGAGGGGGACAACAGUUGGAAACGACUGCUAAUACCGCAUAACACAUAGGUGUCGCAUGGCAGUUAUGUCAAAGAUUUAUCGCUGAAAGAUGGCCUCGCGUCUGAUUAGCUAGUUGGUAGGGUAACGGCCUACCAAGGCGACGAUCAGUAGCCGGACUGAGAGGUUGGCCGGCCACAUUGGGACUGAGAUACGGCCCAGACUCCUACGGAAGGCAGCAG